UGUUUCCACAGUACUUUCAGUUUCUCUUCGUUUUGUUUUUCUUUUAUUUUUCUUGCUCCUCUUUCUACACACUGAAGUUGCUGUUGUUUUACAUUUACCUUUUAUUUAUUUGUAGUUUUUGAGGCAGGUUGGAGUGUAAGAAUGCAAUCUCGGCUUACAGCCGCCUCGACUUUCCAGGACUCCCUCAGGUGAUCUUCCUAUCUCAGCCUUCCAAGUGGCUGAGACUACAGGAAUCACUUAAUUCUGUGAUGUCGAAGCUGAAGUGAGCCGUGAUGAUGCCUUGCCCUCCAGUCUGAGUGUUUCAGAAGGUGGAGUUUCGCUCUUAUUGCCCAGGCUGGAGUUCAGUGGCGCGACCUCAGCUCACCGCAACCUCUGUCGCCUGUGUUCAAGAGAUUUUCCAGUCUUCACCCUUUCGAGUAGCUGAAACCACAGGCAAACACCUCCAGGCCUGGCUAAUUUUUUUUUUUUUUCAUAGAGACUAGGUAGCUCCAUAAUGGUCAGGCUGGUCUAGAACACCCAACCUGAGGCGUACCACCCAACUUGACCACCCAAAGUGCUGAGAUUAAAGGCGUGAGCUCCGCGUCUGGCCAUAACAUCUUAUCCUAUAGAAGCCCAGAGAGGUUAGG
Homo sapiens (human) is the source of this 626-nucleotide long non-coding RNA. RefSeq lists it as uncharacterized. NCBI's taxonomy places the organism in Eukaryota, Metazoa, Chordata, Mammalia, Primates, Hominidae. The record is from RefSeq and is marked validated.